AAAAUUUCAUAAGGUUUCAUUAACUACAAUCGUGAAUCAGAAACCUUCGCACCUCUUCACGAUUUCAAACGAAUCAAUAAUAUUGCCGCCAUCGUUCAAUCACCUUUGAGUUUUUUUUCAAUCGAUCUUCGUUCUCAGAACAAAGUUCAGUCAGGUAGAUUCGUUCACAGAUCUGUCUAAUUUCAUUCUCGUUAGGUUUCAGAUUUUACUCACAGAUUCACGUGUUCAUCAUGUUGU
Molecule: long non-coding RNA, 237 nt
Filed under: Trifolium pratense (red clover)
Lineage: Eukaryota; Viridiplantae; Streptophyta; Magnoliopsida; Fabales; Fabaceae
Description: long non-coding RNA (TPRA_LNC006653)
Source: RNAcentral